GGGCAUUCGUAUCAUUACGCGAGAGGUGAAAUUCGUGGACCGUAGUGAGACGCCCAAUACCGAAAGCAUUUGCCAAGAAUGUCUUCAUUAAUCAAGAACGAAAGUCAGAGGUUCGAAGGCGAUUAGAUACCGCCCUAGUUCUGACCGUAAACGAUGCCAUCUCGCGAUUCGGAGGGUUCAUGCCCUACCGAGGAGCUACCCGGAAACGAAAGUCUUUCGGUUCCGGGGGUAGUAUGGUUGCAAAGCUGAAACUUAAAGAAAUUGACGGAAGGGCACCACAAGGCGUGGAGCUUGCGGCUUAAUUUGACUCAACACGGGAAAACUCACCCGGUCCGGACACUAUUAGGACUGACAGAUUGAAAGCUCUUUCUCGAUUUGGUGGUUGGUGGUGCAUGGCCGUUCUUAGUUGGUGGAGUGAUUUGUCUGGUUUAUUCCGAUAACGAGCGAGACUCUAGCCUGCUAAAUAGUCGACGAAUCUUCGGGUUCGUAUAACUUCUUAGAGGGAUAAGCGGUGUUUAGCCGCACGAGAUUGAGCGAUAACAGGUCUGUGAUGCCCUUAGAUGUCCGGGGCUGCACGCGUGCUACACUGGUGGAGUCAGCGGGUUUUUCCUAUGCCGAAAGGUAUCGGUAAACCGUUGAACUUCUUCCAUGUCCGGGAUAGGGUAUUGUAAUUAUUACCCUUAAACGAGGAAUGCCUAGUAAGUGUGAGUCAUCAGCUCACGUUGAUUACGUCCCUGCCCUUUGUACACACCGCCCGUCGCUAUCCGGGACUGAACUGAUUCGAGAAGAGUGGGGACUGUGGCUGCGAGGUUUUACCACUUCGCAGUUGCGGAAACCAUUUUUAUCGCAUUGGUUUGAACCGGGUAAAAGUCGUAACAAGGUAGCUGUAGGUGAACCUGCAGCUGGAUCAUCG
This 913-nucleotide non-coding RNA is filed under the name Caenorhabditis japonica. Its description in RNAcentral is "Eukaryotic small subunit ribosomal RNA". It matches the Rfam family "Eukaryotic small subunit ribosomal RNA", at positions 886 to 1831 of the family's 1831-position model. Lineage: Eukaryota; Metazoa; Nematoda; Chromadorea; Rhabditida; Rhabditidae. The record is from Rfam by way of RNAcentral.